RNAcentral lists this ribosomal RNA (639 nucleotides) under uncultured Actinomycetes bacterium. RNAcentral's name for it is "bacterial SSU rRNA". It matches the Rfam family "Bacterial small subunit ribosomal RNA", at positions 232 to 885 of the family's 1533-position model. The record is from RNAcentral. Lineage: Bacteria; Bacillati; Actinomycetota; Actinomycetes.
CGCGGCCUAUCAGCUUGUUGGUGAGGUAACGGCUCACCAAGGCGACGACGGGUAGCUGUUCUGAGAGGAAGAUCAGCCGCACUGGGACUGAGACACGGCCCAGACUCCUACGGGAGGCAGCAGUGGGGAAUCUUGCGCAAUGGGCGAAAGCCUGACGCAGCGACGCCGCGUGCGGGAAGACGGCCUUCGGGUUGUAAACCGCUUUCAGCAGGGACGAAAAUGACGGUACCUGCAGAAGAAGCUCCGGCCAACUACGUGCCAGCAGCCGCGGUAAGACGUAGGGGGCGAGCGUUGUCCGGAAUCAUUGGGCGUAAAGGGCUCCUAGGUUGUUCAGUAAGUCGACUGUGAAAAUCCAAGGCUCAACCUUGGGACGCCAGUCGAUACUGCUGUGACUCGAGUUCGGUAGAGGAGUGUGGAAUUCCUGGUGUAGCGGUGAAAUGCGCAGAUAUCAGGAGGAGCACCAACGGCGAAGGCAGCACUCUGGGCCGAUACUGACACUGAAGAGCGAAAGCAUGGGGAGCAAACAGGAUUAGAUACCCUGGUAGCCCAUGCCGUAAACGUUGGGCACUAGGUGUGGGGUUCUAUCAACGGACUCCGUGCCGCAGCUAACGCAUUAAGUGCCCCGCCUGGGGAGUACGG